This 490-nucleotide ribosomal RNA is filed under the name uncultured bacterium. RNAcentral describes it as "partial 16S ribosomal RNA". It matches the Rfam family "Bacterial small subunit ribosomal RNA", at positions 29 to 507 of the family's 1533-position model. The record is from RNAcentral.
AGUGAACGCUGGCGGCAGGCCUAACACAUGCAAGUCGAACGGCAGCACAAGAGAGCUUGCUCUCUGGGUGGCGAGUGGCGGACGGGUGAGGAAUGCAUCGGAAUCUGCCCAUUUGUGGGGGAUAACCUCGGGAAACCGGGACUAAUACCGCAUACGACCUACGGGUGAAAGCAGGGGAUCUUCGGACCUUGCGCAGAUGGAUGAGCCGCUGCCGGAUUAGCUAGUUGGAGGGGUAAAGGCCCACCAAGGCGACGAUCCGUAGCUGGUCUGAGAGGAUGAUCAGCCACACUGGGACUGAGACACGGCCCAGACUCCUACGGGAGGCAGCAGUGGGGAAUAUUGGACAAUGGGCGCAAGCCUGAUCCAGCCAUGCCGCGUGUGUGAAGAAGGCCUUCGGGUUGUAAAGCACUUUUGUUGGGAAAGAAAAGCAGCCGGUUAAUACCCGGUUGUCAUGACGGUACCCAAAGAAUAAGCACCGGCUAACUUCGUG